This 69-nucleotide transfer RNA is filed under the name Vasticardium flavum. RNAcentral's name for it is "tRNA-Asn". Lineage: Eukaryota; Metazoa; Mollusca; Bivalvia; Cardiida; Cardiidae. The record is from RNAcentral.
UGAUUAGGUAUUUUAAAAAAAAAAGCAAGUGUUGCAUGCUUAUAUUGGAUAAAUCAAUCCCCUAGUCAU